This 256-nucleotide ribosomal RNA is filed under the name uncultured bacterium. RNAcentral's name for it is "partial 16S ribosomal RNA". It matches the Rfam family "Bacterial small subunit ribosomal RNA", at positions 793 to 1055 of the family's 1533-position model. The record is from RNAcentral.
GUCCACGCCGUAAACGAUGCUAACUCGUUUUUGGGGCUUCGGCUUCAGAGACUAAGCGAAAGUGAUAAGUUAGCCACCUGGGGAGUACGUUCGCAAGAAUGAAACUCAAAGGAAUUGACGGGGCCCGCACAAGCGGUGGAUUAUGUGGUUUAAUUCGAUGAUACGCGAGGAACCUUACCAAGGCUUAAAUGGGAAUUGACAGGUUUAGAAAUAGACUUUUCUUCGGACAAUUUUCAAGGUGCUGCAUGGUUGUCGU